This is a non-coding RNA of Vicugna pacos (alpaca), 3092 nucleotides long. NCBI's taxonomy places the organism in Eukaryota, Metazoa, Chordata, Mammalia, Artiodactyla, Camelidae. The record is from RefSeq and is a predicted model, not a curated record.
GAGACUUAAUUCAAAUGUACCAAUAACUCAAUACUAUCCAUUCUGUGGCUGGUCAUAGAAUUGGACCAGCAAGAGCAACAGCAGUGAAUUGUUUUGAAUUACACACUUAUCUUUUACAUAUGAAAAUUUUAGAUCUCGUUCUGUUGAUGGCAAAGACAAAAAUUUAGUUGUGAUUAAUAAAAAAAUUUUACAUAACAUCAAAUUCUCAAAUAAGAACACUGACUUUAGUGGUUAUAGAAAUACGGAGGCUUACCAUCCUCAGAGGUGUGUGUGGUGGCAGUUCUCCGCUCUCUGUACAUCCCCUGCUCAGCCAAGGCCCUGCUUUACCUGUAUCCUGCUCACAUGACUGACCUUCCCUCUUUAAUCAGAAGCCUAACAGUGACUGCCUACAUGUUUGCCCCCGCCUCAGCUGCUGACUGUUCUAAUGCUUAGACCAGAAGGGCUCCACACUGCCAGGCCGUCACAGGGAACCAUCUGCCCUCCGGUGACUGCUAGCUCGAGGGGCUGUGAGGCACGUGCCCCUCUGCUGGUUUCCCUGGUAACCCAUGAGCCAGCCUGAUGCCAGUUCCUCCUAUGAAUGGCGAUCUCCUUCUCCACCCCAGGAGCUGUACCCUGCCUGCUCAACACAGUGGGCUGUCGCUCUAGGACCUUUUGCGUCUGACUUGUAAGAUUCCCUAUCCAACAAAUCUUGGACGUCGCUGUCUCUGGACUCUUUCUCCGGACUUGCGGCUGGGCAAUUGCAAGGUUCACAGGCCUGUGGGGUGCAGCCCACCAACAGGAACUAUUACAGCACUACAUGGUCUGUGGUUGAUGGUGCAGAUGUGGAACCACAGGUAUGGAGGAAACAAAUAAGUGGAGGGCUGAUGGUUGAAGCCCUAACUUCCCCAUGUGACUGUAUUUGGAGGGCCUUUAAAGGAGAUAGUUAAGACUAAAUGAUAUCAGAAGGGUGGGGCCUUAACCCAGGAGAACUGAUGUCUUUAAAAGAAGAGACAAUAGGAGCACAAGCAAACAGGAAAAGGCCAUGUGAAGAAACAGCAAGGAGGUGGCUGUCUGCAAGCCCUGGGGAGAAGUCUGACCAGAAAUCAAACCUGCUGGCACUUUGAUCUUGGACUUCUAGAACUAUAAGCAACUGAAGAAAAGCUAUUGAAGUUAGUUACCAAGCUGAAGCCUGAUUCCCAGUUAAUGCCUAGAAGUUUGGAAGCCUAAAUAGGACUAAUACUUUUACAGGUACUUUUGUUUCUAAUGAAAAAUACAAGACAAAAACAAUUUCUGGAGAACUUGGAUAACUAUGUUAAAAAACAUUUGGUAUUUAAUACAGUUUCAAGAUUAAUUAAUUAAAAAUUACAAACUAAUCAAAACUAGCUAUAUAGAGAAUGACAUUAUCAACCACAAACAUCACAAUUAUUUUUUCUUCUAUGAUUCUCUUAAUGCUAUUGAAAGUAGAAAAGGCAAUUUUGUCUACAAAUUGUAUUCUAGAAAUCAUAAGAAAAUGUCAAUUAAAAACAUCUAUUGGAAGAUUCAUUCAUUUCUGUAUUUCAACUAUCAAGAUGUAAUAUUUAGGUUAAAACAUUACAAACUUCUGAUUUUGAGACUUGUCUCCAUCACUGAUUGAUUACACAAGAAACUUAGGGUUCUCCUUGCACAAAUGUUCAAAGUUUCUCUAGGAAUUGAGACGUUAAAGGGUUAAAGUACCAGCACAUAUAAAAAGAAAUGUGUAUCUUUUUUCAACACGAAGUAGAUAGUAGAGAUCAUAGUAAUUCAUCUGAAGAGAUAGACAAAAUGUGAAUGAGUGCAGAAAUCAAAGUAUAUAUGUUUAAAAAAAAAAAAGUCCAGGAACAUGAGGUCACUAGCUUUCUUCAUGUCCAGCAAAGCAGGGCAGCCUGGGACAGAGAUGACUGAGAAACAAACAGAAGAGACUAAGGAAGAGGAAGAACUCAAGGACGAAAAGAUGGAAGAAGACUCAAAAGGGCAAAUGAGUAUGACUUAAAAGGAAGCCUAGAAAAAUGGAGACAGAAAUGGCCAAAACUCAGAAAUUUACAAAUUAGGAAGAAAAUAGGAACAAAAAAGGAACAAAAAUAAAUGUCUGAACAAACAAAAAUAAAUAUAGGAAAACAGUAUUAUGUAAACCAAGCAAAGAGGAAAAUAGAUACAGGCCUUUGGAAUAAGAAAACAAAGAUGAAAACCCCUUGAUUUUCUUUCCCAGUUUGUUGUUCACAAGGGAAAAUCUUCUUUGUUUUGAGCUAUGAAUGAGUGUUAAUAUUGUUCCUUUAGUUUGGGAUUUUGAAAAGCCAAUAAUGUCUUUUGUUUCCUUUAGUUAAAGAGAAAAACUCCAAAUAUUACAGUGUCUUUAAAUAUUGAGUAUUGUUGAAGCAAAUGUGAAAGUUGUAAUUUUCAGAGUAACUUUAACAGCAUAAUAGUUUCUCAGCUUUCGUGCCUAUCAUUAGCAUCACACUUAGCAGGACACAGGUGGAAAGAUUUAAGAGGCUUUCCAGAAUAAAUCUGUAAUAUGCAUUCUUACACCUGCCCUGAGAUCUAACCGACUGCUCAGCCAGUAACAUUUAAUCUAUGGCCAAUGAACUAAUAAAACAACAUAGGGAAGAUAGAUGGAGUUCCCAAUCAAAAAGGCCUGGUAAGCAGCUGGGGUACAUGGCUAUCUGCCCGUCUCUCUUAAAAUAAAUCCAUGAACAAAGCAAACUUCCCUAAUGUGAUUGAUAGAAACUUAUUUCAGGGUAAACAGUAUGAAAGCACAGAGUCAAUACUGAAGAAUUUUCUUCAUCCAAAAGAAAAAGGCAGAAAAAAGUGACUUCGAGGAUUGGACAGAAGGCUUAGAAUUAAAAUAAUCAUAAUCACCUUUCCAGGCUCAGCAACUCUGACAAGGUCCUAUUUAUAAAGAAUCAUGUUGGUCUUCUGCAGCAUUAUUUAUAGUCCUGUAUAAGGUGAACACUAAGUAGGGAACCUGGUCCAUAAUUAUAGUCCCUCUUUCUGCAUUUUACUACUGCUUUAGAACUGGGCUAAGAGGGAAGAAUGGAAGAAAAACAUUCAUAUUACACUGACCUUAUAAUUCUGUGCUCUCCAAAGUGAUAAUACUCUUC